GACGAACGCUGGCGGCGUGCUUAACACAUGCAAGUCGAACGGAAAGGCCCUGCUUUUGUGGGGUGCUCGAGUGGCGAACGGGUGAGUAACACGUGAGUAACCUGCCCUUGACUUUGGGAUAACUUCAGGAAACUGGGGCUAAUACCGGAUAGGAGCUCCUGCUGCAUGGUGGGGGUUGGAAAGUUUCGGCGGUUGGGGAUGGACUCGCGGCUUAUCAGCUUGUUGGUGGGGUAGUGGCUUACCAAGGCUUUGACGGGUAGCCGGCCUGAGAGGGUGACCGGCCACAUUGGGACUGCGAUGCGGCCCAGACUCCUGCGGGAGGCAGCAGUGGGGGAUAUUGCACAAUGGGCGGAAGCCUGAUGCAGCCACGCCGCGUGCGAGAUGACGGCCUUCGGGUUGUAAACCGCUUUCGCCUGUGACGAAGCGUGAGUGACGGUAAUGGGUAAAGAAGCACCGGCUAACUACGUG
Molecule: ribosomal RNA, 468 nt
Filed under: uncultured bacterium
Lineage: Bacteria
Description: partial 16S ribosomal RNA
Rfam family: Bacterial small subunit ribosomal RNA
Source: RNAcentral